AGCUGCAACUCUUUGUUGAUCUGUCCAUCCAAGGAAUUCAGAAACCCCACCAAUUCCAGCAAACUUAAGAGGCUGAGGACCUUCUAUGACAAGAUCCUCUUCUGCAGCAGCCUCAAGGCCCCCUUGAACCCAAUAAAGGUUUCUGUAACCAGAAUUGCACAGCAACUCACAAGCAGCUAGAGAUCUCAAUCCUCUCUGGCAUGCAACUAUCAGGUCUGCAUCUUUUGGAAACUUCUCCUCAACCUUUGAUAAGAACUGGUUAUCAUAAGACAACGAAGGCACACCACUCCACCAGCCUCCCAUUAUAAAAUUUGUGAUCUUUCUUGAAAU
RNAcentral lists this unclassified non-coding RNA (330 nucleotides) under Hevea brasiliensis (rubber tree). Lineage: Eukaryota; Viridiplantae; Streptophyta; Magnoliopsida; Malpighiales; Euphorbiaceae. The record is from RNAcentral.